GACGAACGCUGGCGGCGUGCUUAACACGUGCAAGUCGAACGGAAAGGCCCUGCUUUUUUGGGGUGCUCGGGUGGCGAACGGGGGCGUAACACGUGAGUAACCUGCCCUUGACUUUGGGGUAACUUCAGGAAACUGGGCCUACUACCGGAUAGGAGCUCCUGCUCCAUGGUGGGGGUGGGAAAUUUUAGGCGGGUGGGGAUGGACUCGCGGCUUAUCAGCUUGUUGGUGGGGUAGGGGCUUACCAAGGCAUUGACGGGUAGCCGGCCUGAGAGGGUGACCGGCCACAUUGGGACUGAGAUACGGCCCAGACUCCUACGGGAGGCAGCAGUGGGGAAUAUUGCACAAUGGGCGGAAGCCUGAUGCAGCAACGCCGCGUGCGGGAUGACGGCCUUCGGGUUGUAAACCGCUUUCGCCUGUGACGAAGCGUGAGUGACGGUAAUGGGUAAAGAAGCACCGGCUAACUACGUG
RNAcentral lists this ribosomal RNA (468 nucleotides) under uncultured bacterium. Its description in RNAcentral is "partial 16S ribosomal RNA". It matches the Rfam family "Bacterial small subunit ribosomal RNA", at positions 28 to 507 of the family's 1533-position model. The record is from RNAcentral.